Molecule: long non-coding RNA, 365 nt
Organism: Solanum lycopersicum (tomato)
Lineage: Eukaryota; Viridiplantae; Streptophyta; Magnoliopsida; Solanales; Solanaceae
Source: RefSeq, a predicted model, not a curated record
UUUCACUUCGCCUGUUUCUCCACUCUUCCUUUGAUUUUAUUUCUUCAAAUCACAAUGGUGCCUCCUUGGACUAAUCCAUCACUUUGCCUUCUGUUGCUAUGGAAAGAAUAAGCUAAAAAGAGUUUUGUGGAUUGUGCUUGUUGUCUUUUUACUAUUGGAUCUUGUCUAAAGGAGAAAACCCUCUUCACUUUGCAAGUCAUAUCACUUAUUUUUCUCCUUAUCCUUUUCAUAUAGUGUCCUCUAUCUAUCUUUCAACAUGUGGUCAUGUGAAAAAGUGCAUGGGAAGCUUUGCUCUGCCGCCCUUUACUAGUGUUGAUGGAUUCCUCUAGGUUUAAUAGUUCAAUUCUAGACUCCAUAUCUCCAAU